Molecule: RNase P RNA, 382 nt
Filed under: Peptococcaceae bacterium
Lineage: Bacteria; Bacillati; Bacillota; Clostridia; Eubacteriales; Peptococcaceae
Description: RNase P RNA component class A
Rfam family: Bacterial RNase P class A
About the family: Ribonuclease P (RNase P) is a ubiquitous endoribonuclease, found in archaea, bacteria and eukarya as well as chloroplasts and mitochondria. Its best characterised activity is the generation of mature 5'-ends of tRNAs by cleaving the 5'-leader elements of precursor-tRNAs.
Source: RNAcentral
GAAGUUAACCGGAUGGUCGCGGGGACAAGGACCGAAAGGUUGUCUCUGAGGAAAGUCCGAGCUCCAUAGGGCAGGGUGCCGGGUAACGCCCGGUGGGGGUAACCCCAAGGAAAGUGCAACAGAAAUAUACCGCCCGACACUUACUUAAGCUUUAAGUAAGUGCCGGGUAAGGGUGGAAAGGUGAGGUAAGAGCUCACCGGCAGUCAGGUAACUGGCUGGCCCUGUAAACCCCACCCGGAGCAAGACCAAAUAGGGGAACAAUAGAGCGGCCCGCUUUAGUUCCCGGGUUAGGUCGCUUGAGGCUGGCGGUAACGUCAGUCCUAGAUAGAUGACCAUCACCUCGUAAGAGGAACAGAACUCGGCUUAUAGGUUGACUUCGAAC